Molecule: non-coding RNA, 369 nt
Organism: Cinara cedri
Lineage: Eukaryota; Metazoa; Arthropoda; Insecta; Hemiptera; Aphididae
Source: the annotation of a GenBank genome assembly
GCUUGGUUGGAAGUAGGUGUUUUAUAUUUCGUAAAAUCAAUGGGUAUAGAUUCACCCAUGAGAUAUUGUAACAGUCUAGUCCUUAAUUCGGAUAGCGUUCCUAAAGUAAUACGCCCUCUUUUUAUAAGUUCUGUUUCUAUUUGGUUUUGAUUUAAAUUCGAUACGUUCUCUGCUACCGGAGUAAAAUUUGGGUUAGAGGGAUUCAUCUCUACACGGCCAAAAUAAUUUUUAUUGACAGUUUUUACAUUUAUUUAUUUAUUUAUUUUUUGUUUUUUUUAUUUUUGAAUUACCUAUUAGUUGGUUGAUAAUUUUAUAAAACGUUUAAGUUAAUAAUAUGUUCGAUAUAUUUUUUGGAGGUGUGGUACGAGC